RNAcentral lists this ribosomal RNA (2652 nucleotides) under Enterobacter sp. R4-368. RNAcentral's name for it is "bacterial LSU rRNA". The stretch from base 481 to 2652 matches the Rfam family "Bacterial large subunit ribosomal RNA". Lineage: Bacteria; Pseudomonadati; Pseudomonadota; Gammaproteobacteria; Enterobacterales; Enterobacteriaceae. The record is from RNAcentral.
AAUCCCCGGGCUCAACCUGGGAACUGCAUCCGAAACUGGCAGGCUUGAGUCUCGUAGAGGGAGGUAGAAUUCCAGGUGUAGCGGUGAAAUGCGUAGAGAUCUGGAGGAAUACCGGUGGCGAAGGCGGCCUCCUGGACGAAGACUGACGCUCAGGUGCGAAAGCGUGGGGAGCAAACAGGAUUAGAUACCCUGGUAGUCCACGCCGUAAACGAUGUCUAUUUGGAGGUUGUGCCCUUGAGGCGUGGCUUCCGGAGCUAACGCGUUAAAUAGACCGCCUGGGGAGUACGGCCGCAAGGUUAAAACUCAAAUGAAUUGACGGGGGCCCGCACAAGCGGUGGAGCAUGUGGUUUAAUUCGAUGCAACGCGAAGAACCUUACCUGGUCUUGACAUCCACAGAACUUUCCAGAGAUGGAUUGGUGCCUUCGGGAACUGUGAGACAGGUGCUGCAUGGCUGUCGUCAGCUCGUGUUGUGAAAUGUUGGGUUAAGUCCCGCAACGAGCGCAACCCUUAUCCUUUGUUGCCAGCGGUUAGGCCGGGAACUCAAAGGAGACUGCCAGUGAUAAACUGGAGGAAGGGUGGGGAUGACGAAUUCAUCUCCGGGGGUAGAGCACUGUUUCGGCUAGGGGGCCAUCCCGGCUUACCAACCCGAUGCAAACUACGAAUACCGGAGAAUGUUAUCACGGGAGACACACGGCGGGUGCUAACGUCCGUCGUGAAGAGGGAAACAACCCAGACCGCCAGCUAAGGUCCCAAAGUCAUGGUUAAGUGGGAAACGAUGUGGGAAGGCCCAGACAGCCAGGAUGUUGGCUUAGAAGCAGCCAUCAUUUAAAGAAAGCGUAAUAGCUCACUGGUCGAGUCGGCCUGCGCGGAAGAUGUAACGGGGCUAAACCAUGCACCGAAGCUGCGGCAGCGACGCUUAUGCGUUGUUGGGUAGGGGAGCGUUCUGUAAGCCUGCGAAGGUGUGCUGUGAGGCAUGCUGGAGGUAUCAGAAGUGCGAAUGCUGACAUAAGUAACGAUAAAGCGGGUGAAAAGCCCGCUCGCCGGAAGACCAAGGGUUCCUGUCCAACGUUAAUCGGGGCAGGGUGAGUCGACCCCUAAGGCGAGGCCGAAAGGCGUAGUCGAUGGGAAACAGGUUAAUAUUCCUGUACUUGGUGUUACUGCGAAGGGGGGACGGAGAAGGCUAUGUUAGCCGGGCGACGGUUGUCCCGGUUUAAGCGUGAAGGUGUGUGCUCCAGGCAAAUCCGGAGCACUUUAACACUGAGGCGUGAUGACGAGGCACUACGGUGCUGAAGUAACAAAUGCCCUGCUUCCAGGAAAAGCCUCUAAGCUCCAGGUAACACGAAAUCGUACCCCAAACCGACACAGGUGGUCAGGUAGAGAAUACCAAGGCGCUUGAGAGAACUCGGGUGAAGGAACUAGGCAAAAUGGUGCCGUAACUUCGGGAGAAGGCACGCUGAUAUGUAGGUGAAGUCCCUCGCGGAUGGAGCUGAAAUCAGUCGAAGAUACCAGCUGGCUGCAACUGUUUAUUAAAAACACAGCACUGUGCAAACACGAAAGUGGACGUAUACGGUGUGACGCCUGCCCGGUGCCGGAAGGUUAAUUGAUGGGGUCAUCCGUAAGGAGAAGCUCUUGAUCGAAGCCCCGGUAAACGGCGGCCGUAACUAUAACGGUCCUAAGGUAGCGAAAUUCCUUGUCGGGUAAGUUCCGACCUGCACGAAUGGCGUAAUGAUGGCCAGGCUGUCUCCACCCGAGACUCAGUGAAAUUGAACUCGCUGUGAAGAUGCAGUGUACCCGCGGCAAGACGGAAAGACCCCGUGAACCUUUACUAUAGCUUGACACUGAACACUGGUCCUUGAUGUGUAGGAUAGGUGGGAGGCUUUGAAGCGUGGACGCCAGUCUGCGUGGAGCCGCCCUUGAAAUACCACCCUUUAAUGGCUGGUGUUCUAACGUGGACCCGUAAUCCGGGUUGCGGACAGUGUCUGGUGGGUAGUUUGACUGGGGCGGUCUCCUCCUAAAGCGUAACGGAGGAGCACGAAGGUCAGCUAAUCCUGGUCGGACAUCAGGAGGUUAGUGCAAUGGCAUAAGCUGGCUUGACUGCGAGCGUGACGGCGCGAGCAGGUGCGAAAGCAGGUCAUAGUGAUCCGGUGGUUCUGAAUGGAAGGGCCAUCGCUCAACGGAUAAAAGGUACUCCGGGGAUAACAGGCUGAUACCGCCCAAGAGUUCAUAUCGACGGCGGUGUUUGGCACCUCGAUGUCGGCUCAUCACAUCCUGGGGCUGAAGUAGGUCCCAAGGGUAUGGCUGUUCGCCAUUUAAAGUGGUACGCGAGCUGGGUUUAGAACGUCGUGAGACAGUUCGGUCCCUAUCUGCCGUGGGCGCUGGAGAAUUGAGGGGGGCUGCUCCUAGUACGAGAGGACCGGAGUGGACGCAUCACUGGUGUUCGGGUUGUCAUGCCAAUGGCACUGCCCGGUAGCUAAAUGCGGAAGAGAUAAGUGCUGAAAGCAUCUAAGCACGAAACUUGCCCCGAGAUGAGUUCUCCCUGAGACCUUGAGUCUCCUGAAGGAACGUUGAAGACGACGACGUUGAUAGGCCGGGUGUGUAAGCGCAGCGAUGCGUUGAGCUAACCGGUACUAAUGAACCGUGAGGCUUAACCUU